GACGAACGCUGGCGGCGUGCUUAACACAUGCAAGUCGUACGGAAAGACCCUGCGUUUGUGUCUUGCUCGUUUGGCGAACGGGUGAGUAACACGUGAGUAACCCGCCCUUAACUGUGUGAGAACUUCACGAAACAGGGGCUAUUACCGGAUAGGAUCUCCUGCUGCAUGUUGGUGGUUGGAAAGUGUCGGCGGUUGUGGAUGGACUCGCUGCUUAUGAGCUGGUUGGUGUGGUAGUUGCUUACCAAGGCUUUGACGGGUAGCCUGCCUGGGAGGGUGAACGGCCACAUUGGGACUGAGAUACGGCGCAGAAGGGUAUGGGAGGCAGCAGUGGGGAAUAUGGCAGAAUGGGGGGAAGCGUGAUGCAGAAAUGCUGCGUGCGGGAUGCCGGCCUUUGGGUUGUAAACAGAUUUCGAAUGUGACGAAGAGUGAGUGACGGUAAUGGGUAAAGAAGCACCGGCUAACUACGUG
This 468-nucleotide ribosomal RNA is filed under the name uncultured bacterium. RNAcentral describes it as "partial 16S ribosomal RNA". It matches the Rfam family "Bacterial small subunit ribosomal RNA", at positions 28 to 507 of the family's 1533-position model. The record is from RNAcentral.